ACGAAGGGGCGAGAAAAAACGUUAGACUCUCGCUACAAUCUUGCCGGUCUACCGAGGUCCGUUCGAAAUAGGUUUUUUCAUUACGGUGUUUCGCCAAUCAUCCUGUAUCCGUACACUCGUGUACGCAAUAUAUAAAUACGUAUUCCUGUACACCGAUUCAAACCUCUCGCCUACCCGCGGUGCGAAAAGUAUGUCCGGCUUUUUUCGGUUUUCGGCUAUCCAAAAUCGGAACCGGUACGCGAGAAGAUUAUUGGAACACAAUCGCAAUAAUAAUAAUAGUAGGUGAUAACACUCAAACCGCCCAGACAACAUGCGACGGCACUUUCGCAGAGGUCGCUUCGAGUGCGGGCGUUGUGCGAUUAUCUUAUUUACACGAUCG
This is a non-coding RNA of Cinara cedri, 379 nucleotides long. NCBI's taxonomy places the organism in Eukaryota, Metazoa, Arthropoda, Insecta, Hemiptera, Aphididae. The record is from the annotation of a GenBank genome assembly.